GACGAACGCUGGCGGCGUGCCUAAUACAUGCAAGUCGAGCGAUGAAGAUUGGUGCUUGCACCAAUUUGAAGAGCAGCGAACGGGUGAGUAACGCGUGGGGAAUCUGCCUUUGAGCGGGGGACAACAUUUGGAAACGAAUGCUAAUACCGCAUAACAACUUUAAACAUAAGUUUUAAGUUUGAAAGAUGCAAUUGCAUCACUCAAAGAUGAUCCCGCGUUGUAUUAGCUAGUUGGUGAGGUAAAGGCUCACCAAGGCGAUGAUACAUAGCCGACCUGAGAGGGUGAUCGGCCACAGUGGGACUGAGACACGGCCCAAACUCCUACGGGAGGCAGCAGUAGGGAAUCUUCGGCAAUGGACGAAAGUCUGACCGAGCAACGCCGCGUGAGUGAAGAAGGUUUUCGGAUCGUAAAACUCUGUUGGUAGAGAAGAACGUUGGUGAGAGUGGAAAGCUCAUCAAGUGACGGUAACUACCCAGAAAGGGACGGCUAACUACGUG
Molecule: ribosomal RNA, 497 nt
Filed under: uncultured bacterium
Lineage: Bacteria
Description: partial 16S ribosomal RNA
Rfam family: Bacterial small subunit ribosomal RNA
Source: RNAcentral